GACGAACGCUGGCGGCGUGCUUAACACAUGCAAGUCGAACGAAGAGCGAUGGAAGCUUGCUUCUAUCACUCUUAGUGGCGAACGGGUGAGUAACGCGUAAUCAACCUGCCCUUCAGAGGGGGACAACAGUUGGAAACGACUGCUAAUACCGCAUACGAUAUGAAUUCGGAAUGGAGGAUAGAUGAAAGGUGGGGUGGAUAGGUAAGUGAGUAGUGAAGGAGGGGAUUGCGUCUGAUUAGCUAGUUGGAGGGGUAACGGCCCAACAAGGCGAUGAUCAGUAGCCGGUCUGAGAGGAUGAACGGCCACAUUGGGACUGAGACACGGCCCAGACUCCUACGGGAGGCAGCAGGUGGUAAUCUUCCUCAAUAUACUAAACUCUCACCAAUCAACCCCUCUGGAUUGAUUACGGCCUUCGGGUUGUAAAGCUCUGUUAAUCGGGACGAAACUCCUUUUUCCAAAUAUUUAUCAGUAUUAACUAUCCCCCAAUAGAAAUCCACGGCUAACUACUUG
This 510-nucleotide ribosomal RNA is filed under the name uncultured bacterium. Its description in RNAcentral is "partial 16S ribosomal RNA". It matches the Rfam family "Bacterial small subunit ribosomal RNA", at positions 28 to 507 of the family's 1533-position model. The record is from RNAcentral.